GAUGAACGCUAGCGAUAGGCUUAACACAUGCAAGUCGAGGGGCAGCAUGGUCUUAGCUUGCUAAGACUGAUGGCGACCGGCGCACGGGUGCGUAACGCGUAUGCAACUUGCCUCACAGAGGGGGAUAACCCGUCGAAAGACGGACUAAUACCGCGUACACUUGGAGGGAGGCAUCUCCCAUCAAGGAAAAGAAAUUCGCUGUGAGAUAGGCAUGCGUCCCAUUAGCUAGUUGGUGAGGUAACGGCUCACCAAGGCAACGAUGGGUAGGGGAACUGGGAGGUUGAACCCCCAGACGGGGACUGAGACACGGACCAGACUCCUACGGGAGGCAGCAGUGAGGAAUAUUGGUCAAUGGGCGAGAGCCUGAACCAGCCAAGUCGCGUGAAGGAUGACUGUCUUAUGGAUUGUAAACUUCUUUUGUAGGGGAAUAAAGAACGGUACGUGUACCGUAGUGAAUGUACCCUACGAAUAAGCAUCGGCUAACUCCGUGCCAGCCGCCGCCGUAA
RNAcentral lists this ribosomal RNA (506 nucleotides) under uncultured bacterium. RNAcentral describes it as "partial 16S ribosomal RNA". It matches the Rfam family "Bacterial small subunit ribosomal RNA", at positions 28 to 523 of the family's 1533-position model. The record is from RNAcentral.